CACUCCUGCGGGAGGCAGCAGUGGGGAAUCUUGCGCAAUGGGCGAAAGCCUGACGCAGCCAUGCCGCGUGAAUGAUGAAGGUCUUAGGAUUGUAAAAUUCUUUCACCGGGGACGAUAAUGACGGUACCCGGAGAAGAAGCCCCGGCUAACUUCGUGCCAGCAGCCGCGGUAAUACGAAGGGGGCUAGCGUUGCUCGGAAUUACUGGGCGUAAAGGGAGCGUCGGCGGACAUUUAAGUCAGGGGUGAAAUCCCGGGGCUCAACCUCGGAAUUGCCUUUGAUACUGGGUGUCUUGAGUAUGAGAGAGGUGUGUGGAACUCCGAGUGUAGAGGUGAAAUUCGUAGAUAUUCGGAAGAACACCAGUGGCGAAGGCGACACACUGGCUCAUUACUGACGCUGAGGCUCGAAAGCGUGGGGAGCAAACAGGAUUAGAAACCCUAGUAGUCCCAUGAU
RNAcentral lists this ribosomal RNA (451 nucleotides) under uncultured organism. RNAcentral's name for it is "partial 16S ribosomal RNA". It matches the Rfam family "Bacterial small subunit ribosomal RNA", at positions 334 to 801 of the family's 1533-position model. The record is from RNAcentral.